RNAcentral lists this ribosomal RNA (116 nucleotides) under uncultured bacterium. RNAcentral's name for it is "partial 16S ribosomal RNA". It matches the Rfam family "Bacterial small subunit ribosomal RNA", at positions 1369 to 1482 of the family's 1533-position model. The record is from RNAcentral.
CGUUCACGGGCCUUGUACACACCGCCCGUCACACCAUGGGAGUUGGUUUUACCUUAAGCCGGUGCCUUAACCCGAAAGGGAGAGAGCCGACCACGGUAGGGUCAGCGACUGGGGUG